UACGGAGGGUGCGAGCGUUGUCCGGAAUCACUGGGCGUAAAGGGCGCGUAGGCGGCGCGGGAAGUCAACGGUGAAAGCUUGGGGCUCAACUCCGAGUCGGCCGUCGAUACUCCCGUGCUCGAGCACUGUAGAGGCAGAUGGAAUUCCGGGUGUAGCGGUGGAAUGCGUAGAUAUUCGCAAGAACACCAGUGGCGAAGGCGGCUCACUGGCCCGGUACUGACGCUGAGGCACGAAGGUCAGGGGAGCAAACGGG
Molecule: ribosomal RNA, 253 nt
Filed under: uncultured bacterium
Lineage: Bacteria
Description: partial 16S ribosomal RNA
Rfam family: Bacterial small subunit ribosomal RNA
Source: RNAcentral